This 67-nucleotide non-coding RNA is filed under the name Crystallibacter crystallopoietes. Lineage: Bacteria; Bacillati; Actinomycetota; Actinomycetes; Micrococcales; Micrococcaceae. RNAcentral also lists the same sequence under 1 other name. The record is from RNAcentral.
GCAAGGACCCCGCUUCGGGUCCUCCGGACGAGGGAUCAGUACCCGGCGCGCGACAAGACUGGCCAUG